UACGGGGGGGGUAAGCGUUGUUCGGAAUUACUGGGCGUAAAGGGCUCGUAGGCGGCCAACUAAGUCGGACGUGAAAUCCCUCAGCUUAACUGGGGAACUGCGUCCGAUACUGGAUGGCUUGGAUUUGGGAGAGGGAUGCGGAAUUCCAGGUGUAGCGGUGAAAUGCGUAGAUAUCUGGAGGAACACCGGUGGCGAAGGCGGCAUCCUGGACCGAUAUUGACGCUGAUGCGCGAAAGCCAGGGGAGCAAACGGG
This 253-nucleotide ribosomal RNA is filed under the name uncultured bacterium. Its description in RNAcentral is "partial 16S ribosomal RNA". It matches the Rfam family "Bacterial small subunit ribosomal RNA", at positions 524 to 776 of the family's 1533-position model. The record is from RNAcentral.